GAGGGUACAGCUCAGUGGCAGAGCCGGUGCUUAGCAUGCACCAGGUCCUGGGUUCAAUCCCCACUACCUCCU
Molecule: transfer RNA, 72 nt
Filed under: Camelus bactrianus (Bactrian camel)
Lineage: Eukaryota; Metazoa; Chordata; Mammalia; Artiodactyla; Camelidae
Also listed under: 3 other names
Rfam family: tRNA
About the family: Transfer RNA (tRNA) molecules are approximately 80 nucleotides in length. Their secondary structure includes four short double-helical elements and three loops (D, anti-codon, and T loops).
Source: Rfam by way of RNAcentral